Molecule: ribosomal RNA, 445 nt
Filed under: uncultured bacterium
Lineage: Bacteria
Description: SSU rRNA
Rfam family: Bacterial small subunit ribosomal RNA
Source: RNAcentral
AGAGCGAACGCUGGCGGCAGGCUUAACACAUGCAAGUCGAGCGCUCGUAGCAAUACGAGAGCGGCAGACGGGAGAGUAACACGUGGGAACGUACCCUUCGGUUCGGAACAACCCAGGGAAACUUGGGCUAAUACCGGAUACGUCCGUAAGGAGAAAGAUUUAUCGCCGAAGGAUCGGCCCGCGUCUGAUUAGCUAGUUGGUGAGGUAACGGCUCACCAAGGCGACGAUCAGUAGCUGGUCUGAGAGGAUGAUCAGCCUCACUGGGACUGAGACACGGCCCAGACUCCUACGGGAGGCAGCAGUGGGGAAUAUUGGACAAUGGGCGCAAGCCUGAUCCAGCCAUGCCGCGUGGGUGAUGAAGGCCCUAGGGUUGUAAAGCCCUUUCGGCGGGAAGAUAAUGACGGUACCGCAGAAGAAGCCCGGCUAACUUCGUGCCAGCAGCCGC